GUAAUUAUUGUAAUUUCAAAGUAUGGGUUUCCAUAUGUCUCUUUAUAAGACAGUUUUACCAAAUAUGAGUUUCUUGUUAUAUCAUUGCCGCACAUGAAUAUCAAACUUUCCAAUUUACAUGUGUCCCAUAUGUGUUAGAUGUGUGUCCCAUACUCUUAGGCUUAAAUAACAUUGUCAUGUUUAGUCGGCGAGAGUACUUUGCGAUAAUCGAAGAGUUAAUGUAACACAGAACUGAGCCAUCUUGCUAUUGCAGCCUCCUGACUAUUCUAAAAUGCUAAAAGGUGCUUCAAUCAUCUUUUCUGUCAAUCUUUCAAUCUUUCUUUUUUUAUACAAUGAUAUGCCAAGAAUAUCAUUCGCAGCCUCAUGGAUUUUCUUGCUUGCAGAUGUUGCAGAUGAACUUCCGUGUAAGAUUUAGCAUCUAUCAGGGAUGUGCCUAGGAGUCUAGGACAAUACCGUCUGUCUUCCUUUCGGAAAGCUUUUUUAUAAAUUCCAACUUCUUCAAAUUGGCUAUUUGCACCUGAAAGGUAGCUCUAUCUUUUAUUCAAUGCUUAUUUCAUGAGUGUGCAUGUGAUAGAAGCAAGUUAAGUGCAUGCAUUUAAAAAGAAGAAAUAACAUAAUUGGAAAUUCCCCGGACAAAAUGACUCUCACUCAAUCCGUGGCCAGGAAUGCAAAUUAAUUCUUUCAUGAUUGAACGUGAUAGAAGAAAAGUAAUACUAUGCCUUUAAAAAGAAGUAAGUGUGUAACUGACAAUUACCGGAGCAAAAAUGACUUUUACUUGCUAACCACCAAUGCAAAUCUCUUCUCCUCCUAAAAGUGGAGUACAACCAAGAUACCAAUGAUCUGCACCAUAUAUGUAUUCAUCAUGAUAGUAUACAUUGUUGAUUAUAAGGACAAAAGAAGGGAAACCACAAUUUCAACCCAGACUCAUAAUGUAACAGCUAUGCAUGCAUUGCCUUUAUCAAAAGUUUUUCCAAAGAGAAAAUUCAAGCAAAAGGCCUCAAGGGUCAGGGAGGUUAAGAAAAAUUAUAACCGUUUUGAAUGUGGGCUAAGGUAUUCUCAUGGACCAAAAGCGUAGUGUCAGGAUUGUUUUUCUGAACAACUGGAAGACCUACAUCAAACCAUCAAAGAGAAGAUCAUAUCCAAUUAGGCACCAGUUAGGUAAAACAGCUCUUUAAUUCAAAUAUUUCAGAAAAGAGCUUCCAAUAAAUAUAAGAAAAUAGAGAGCAAAUAACUUGUACUACGUUGAUAACAUUUCCAUGAGGGAGAAAACACAAAAAAGUAGCCUCUAAAUAAUAUUUACCAUCGUAGACAUAAAAAAAAUUACUUCAAACAUAUAUUCAAAUAGAUAGGUUUCUGUUAUAACUUAGAGGUGGCCACUGAAGCCCAAGGAGAAUUUAACCAAAAAUGACAUGAUGUGUGAGACUUUGUAGAUGCUUCAGUCUGCUAGAUGACAACACACACACACACACACUCUCCUCCCCAACCCACACGGAGAAGUCCUAAAUUUUAUAUUCAUUAUGAAGCACUUAACUACCAGCUUGUGUGACAAAGUGACACCAUAUGUCAGAUAAGAGAUGCACAAGCUAUGGAUCUUGAUCAUCAAUCUCUCUUUAGUAAUAGUGCACAAUGGAUAGCACUUGUGUUGAUCAUUUAUAUUGUUGGGUAAAUUAAAUUCAGUUUUCAAUCUUUCAUAUCGUAUAUUGUCUACUUAAUACUUAAUUAUGGUAAGAAUCCUUAAAAGCAUUCAAAUUGCUACUUGUGGCAUAGGUUUUCAUCAUUCCAAAAGAGAGAUCAGAGACAGACAUUAGGUCAUCCCGUGUCUGGAGAAGCCCUUGCUUGAGACAUAACUCUCAUCCCAUGAGUCCCAUGGUCAAAUUAUCUAAAACAAGUCUGGUCUUUCAGUUUUCACACUUCAAGCAACUAUUCCUGUCUAUUUGCAAAUUUCAAUAGGUACUUUGUAAAUGAAUAGCCUACCAUUGGGGUCAACAAAUAUAUGACAGUCAGAAACAUUAAACAAUCAAUGUUGUGAGGGUAAGUUUACAAUGAAGAAAUCGAAAGUAGACAGCCACGGUAAGCCCUUCCCCUUUUUGCCCUUCGAAACUAUGCACCAAGAUAUGCGAUUGCCUUCCGUAACU
RNAcentral lists this long non-coding RNA (2135 nucleotides) under Actinidia chinensis (golden kiwifruit). RNAcentral describes it as "long non-coding RNA (ACHI_LNC007956)". Lineage: Eukaryota; Viridiplantae; Streptophyta; Magnoliopsida; Ericales; Actinidiaceae. The record is from RNAcentral.